AAUGAAUUUUCCUACAGAAUCACGGUAGCCGGGAAAUUUGGAGUGACCAAUGAGCGACUGAAAAUGCAAGUUAAAGUGAUGUCGGCUAUAUUAUAAACCGUAGAUGGUAAGGUCCGAACCUGAGGUGUGGCAAUCGAACCUGGUGGUUCGAUAAAAUUUGGGUAAAAAGUUAACGCCGUUAGAUUUGACAAGAUCGAGGAGU
RNAcentral lists this unclassified non-coding RNA (202 nucleotides) under Hevea brasiliensis (rubber tree). The record is from RNAcentral. Lineage: Eukaryota; Viridiplantae; Streptophyta; Magnoliopsida; Malpighiales; Euphorbiaceae.